AGUAUUGGGUUGGCCAAAAAGUUAGUUCGAGUUUUUCAUAACAUCUUACAGAAAAACCCAAACGAACUUUUUGGAUAACUCAAUACUA
RNAcentral lists this microRNA precursor (88 nucleotides) under Ovis aries (sheep). Its description in RNAcentral is "miRNA (ENSOARG00000024774.1)". Lineage: Eukaryota; Metazoa; Chordata; Mammalia; Artiodactyla; Bovidae. The record is from RNAcentral.